This 86-nucleotide transfer RNA is filed under the name Desulfovibrio sp. RNAcentral's name for it is "tRNA-Leu". It matches the Rfam family "tRNA". From Rfam's summary of the family: Transfer RNA (tRNA) molecules are approximately 80 nucleotides in length. Their secondary structure includes four short double-helical elements and three loops (D, anti-codon, and T loops). Lineage: Bacteria; Pseudomonadati; Thermodesulfobacteriota; Desulfovibrionia; Desulfovibrionales; Desulfovibrionaceae. The record is from RNAcentral. RNAcentral also lists the same sequence under 1 other name.
GCCGGAAUGGUGGAAUGGUAGACGCAGAGGACUCAAAAUCCUCCGGUGGCAACACCUUGUGGGUUCAAGUCCCACUUCCGGUACCA